Molecule: small RNA, 123 nt
Filed under: marine eukaryotic metagenome
Description: ydaO/yuaA leader
Rfam family: c-di-AMP riboswitch aptamer (ydaO/yuaA leader)
About the family: This family represents a conserved RNA structure found upstream of the ydaO and yuaA genes in Bacillus subtilis and related genes in other bacteria. The ydaO/yuaA element is thought to act as a genetic "off" switch for the ydaO and yuaA genes in its native state. It is believed that the element may be triggered during osmotic shock leading to activation of ydaO, a predicted amino acid transporter gene, and members of the yuaA-yubG operon which code for KtrA and KtrB K+ transporters.
Source: RNAcentral
UAUCGCUGAAUCUCCUAUAUGGGAGAGCGGGGGAACCAUUUUUCUUGGGGUGAAUCCCACCAUUCAUCGGUGGGUAGGGUUAUGCCGAGACCCGAACCCGUCAGCUAACCUCGUAAGCGUGGA